GAUGAACGCUGGCGGCGUGCUUAACACAUGCAAGUCGAACGAAGCACUUUAUUUGAUUUCCUUCGGGACUGAUUAUUUUGUGACUGAGUGGCGGACGGGUGAGUAACGCGUGGGUAACCUGCCUUGUACAGGGGGAUAACAGUUGGAAACGGCUGCUAAUACCGCAUAAGCGCACGGCAUCGCAUGAUGCAGUGUGAAAAACUCCGGUGGUAUAAGAUGGACCCGCGUUGGAUUAGCUAGUUGGUGAGGUAACGGCCCACCAAGGCGACGAUCCAUAGCCGACCUGAGAGGGUGACCGGCCGCAUUGGGACUGAGACACGGCCCAAACUCCUACGGGAGGCAGCAGUGGGGAAUAUUGCACAAUGGGCGAAAGCCUGAUGCAGCGACGCCGCGUGAGCGAAGAAGUAUUUCGGUAUGUAAAGCUCUAUCAGCAGGGAAGAUAAUGACGGUACCUGACUAAGAAGCACCGGCUAAAUACGUG
This 481-nucleotide ribosomal RNA is filed under the name uncultured bacterium. Its description in RNAcentral is "partial 16S ribosomal RNA". It matches the Rfam family "Bacterial small subunit ribosomal RNA", at positions 28 to 507 of the family's 1533-position model. The record is from RNAcentral.